Long non-coding RNA from Spinacia oleracea (spinach), 702 nucleotides. RefSeq lists it as uncharacterized. Lineage: Eukaryota; Viridiplantae; Streptophyta; Magnoliopsida; Caryophyllales; Amaranthaceae. The record is from RefSeq and is a predicted model, not a curated record. The transcript is spliced from 3 exons.
ACAUUUUAAUUUAUUUAUUUGAUUUUAUAUAACUGCAAAUCUAGUUCUAAUACUUGUUUGACUAAAUUUGCAGAUUUUUUACCUUGAUCGCUUGGCGGGAACCCCCGUUGAUGUAGAACCUUUACCUAGGUUGAAGGUUUGGGGGAACCUGGAAGUGAAAAAAGCAAUCAAGAGAGACAAGAGAAAAGGAUAUGACUAUGGUAGAUCCAAGUCAAAGAAGGUGGUUUAUGAUGGUGAAGUGAGAAACAGUGUUAGUGGCCUGACAAACAAGGAAGUUGACAGGCAGAUUGAAAUUGUGGAUGAGUCGUUGACCGGCAAGGGCACGGAAACUGAUCCUAGCAGGGCAGAUGUUGGCAAUGCAGGGGGAAACGCUGGUGUUUCCCUCUUAGGAAAUCUAAGUAGAGAUAGUGCCGCUGUACAAGAACUGGCGCAUCAGGUACUUGAGUUGUUCAAACCCGAGUUGGAGCGUAUGAUUGUGAAUGCUGUGUCCGAGAGGGAAUGGUUAGCUAGCGGUAGUGGUAUGGGUGUUGGUGGUGAUGGCAGUGGGUGGGGUGGUAGUUUGGUUGGCACUGGGGGGUUUGCUGGCAGUGGUUGGGUUGGGCCUCGUGGUGGGUUGGUUGGCACUAGUGGGUUGGUUGGCACUAGUGGGUUUGGGGGCACUAGGCGGUUUAUUGGCAGAGGUGAUUACGGUGUUGGUACGAG